CUCAGGGUGUGAAGCACUAAUCAGAUAGCUGAUGAGGUCUAGCUCGACAGAGGUUAUGGCCGACUAUGAGUCGACAAGAACUUCAAUAAGCGGGCCCACUAUGCUUGGAUAUCUUAGGUCUUGGGCUUUUUUAUAUCAUCAGUCCAGGCAAAAUUUUUCUCAACACAUGCCCCCUACUUACGAGUCCGACUUUGCUUGGGCAAAGGGAGUAUAUCUGUUUCUUUAAGCCAAAGAAGUGAAAAGAUCCUUCAGUUGAUGGGAUG
Molecule: long non-coding RNA, 263 nt
Filed under: Elaeis guineensis (African oil palm)
Lineage: Eukaryota; Viridiplantae; Streptophyta; Magnoliopsida; Arecales; Arecaceae
Description: long non-coding RNA (EGUI_LNC009817)
Source: RNAcentral